RNAcentral lists this ribosomal RNA (493 nucleotides) under uncultured bacterium. Its description in RNAcentral is "bacterial SSU rRNA". It matches the Rfam family "Bacterial small subunit ribosomal RNA", at positions 28 to 524 of the family's 1533-position model. The record is from RNAcentral.
GACGAACGCUGGCGGCGUGCCUAACACAUGCAAGUCGAGCGGGAACCUCAGGAGGGGUAACCCACCUGAGGGGAGAGCGGCGAACGGGUGAGUAUCACGUGGGCAACCUGCCCCGGACACCGGGAUAACCCAGGGAAACCUGAGCUAAUACCGGAUACUCCGGCGCGACCACAUGGUCGCUCCGGGAAAGCCUUGACGGUCCGGGAUGGGCCCGCGGCCUAUCAGCUUGUUGGUGGGGUAACGGCCCACCAAGGCGACGACGGGUAGCUGGUCUGAGAGGACGGCCAGCCACACUGGGACUGAGACACGGCCCAGACUCCUACGGGAGGCAGCAGUGGGGGAUCUUGCGCUAAUGCGCGAAAGCGUGACGCAGCGACGCCGCGUGGGGAUGAAGGCCCUCGGGUUGUAAACCCCUUUCGGCAGGGACGAAGCGAAAGUGACGGUACCUGCAGAAGAAGUCCCCGGCUAACUACGUGCCAGCCGCCGCGGUAAC